RNAcentral lists this ribosomal RNA (250 nucleotides) under uncultured bacterium. Its description in RNAcentral is "partial 16S ribosomal RNA". It matches the Rfam family "Bacterial small subunit ribosomal RNA", at positions 524 to 773 of the family's 1533-position model. The record is from RNAcentral.
GACGAACCGUGCGAACGUUGUUCGGAAUCACUGGGCUUAAAGGGCGCGUAGGCGGGCUGUCAAGUCUGGGGUGAAAUGCCACGGCUCAACCGUGGAACUGCCUUAGAUACUGACGGCCUCGAGGAAGGUAGGGGCAUGCGGAACUGUAGGUGGAGCGGUGAAAUGCGUUGAUAUCUACAGGAACUCCGGUGGCGAAAGCGGCGUGCUGGACCUUUUCUGACGCUGAGGCGCGAAAGCUAGGGGAGCAAAC